AUUGAACGCUGGCGGCAUGCUUUACACAUGCAAGUCGAGCGGCAGCGCGGGGGCAACCCUGGCGGCGAGCGGCGAACGGGUGAGUAAUGCAUCGGAACGUAUCCUCGAGUGGGGGAUAACCCAGCGAAAGUUGGGCUAAUACCGCAUGAGCUCUGAGGAGGAAAGCGGGGGACCUGCGAGGGCCUCGCGCUGGAGGAGCGGCCGAUGUCCGAUUAGCUAGUUGGUGGGGUAAAGGCUUACCAAGGCGACGAUCGGUAGCUGGUCUGAGAGGAUGAUCAGCCACACUGGGACUGAGACACGGCCCAGACUCCUACGGGAGGCAGCAGUGGGGAAUUUUGGACAGUGGGGGCAACCCUGAUCCAGCAAUGCCGCGUGAGUGAAGAAGGCCUUCGGGUUGUAAAGCUCUUUCGGACGGAACGAAAUGGGCGGGACUAAUACUCCUGUCUGAUGACGGUACCGUAAGAAGAAGCACCGGCUAACUACGUG
This 486-nucleotide ribosomal RNA is filed under the name uncultured bacterium. RNAcentral describes it as "partial 16S ribosomal RNA". It matches the Rfam family "Bacterial small subunit ribosomal RNA", at positions 29 to 507 of the family's 1533-position model. The record is from RNAcentral.